Molecule: ribosomal RNA, 461 nt
Filed under: Streptococcus mitis
Lineage: Bacteria; Bacillati; Bacillota; Bacilli; Lactobacillales; Streptococcaceae
Description: bacterial SSU rRNA
Rfam family: Bacterial small subunit ribosomal RNA
Source: RNAcentral
GACGAACGCUGGCGGCGUGCCUAAUACAUGCAAGUAGAACGCUGAAGGAGGAGCUUGCUCUUCUGGAUGAGUUGCGAACGGGUGAGUAACGCGUAGGUAACCUGCCUGGUAGCGGGGGAUAACUAUUGGAAACGAUAGCUAAUACCGCAUAAGAGUAGAUGUCGCAUGACAUUUGCUUAAAAGGUGCAAUUGCAUCACUACCAGAUGGACCUGCGUUGUAUUAGCUAGUUGGUGAGGUAACGGCUCACCAAGGCAACGAUACAUAGCCGACCUGAGAGGGUGAUCGGCCACACUGGGACUGAGACACGGCCCAGUCUCCUACGGGAGGCAGCAGUAGGGAAUCUUCGGCAAUGGACGGAAGUCUGACCGAGCAACGCCGCGUGAGUGAAGAAGGUUUUCGGAUCGUAAAGCUCUGUUGUAAGAGAAGAACGAGUGUGAGAGUGGAAAGUUCACACUGAGAC